ACCUUGGGGGUUAUGAUUUUAACAUACGAAUUUUGGAACACAAGCCUUCAGUCUACAGCGAGUUCUCCCAGGUGUCCUCGAAGGGGAUCAGUGCAUAGGUGUUCACCUCAGUUUUUUGUGAUGCUGGACAAUCAGGGGUGAUCUAGGUAUUCAUUUUUAGGUGAAGCAAUAUAUUGCAUGAGGAGGAAGCUCGUGAAAUCCCGUGCAGCGUGGACAGACCUCCGUAAUAUCGUCCUGAACUUCCCAC
Non-coding RNA from Vicugna pacos (alpaca), 247 nucleotides. The record is from RefSeq and is a predicted model, not a curated record. NCBI's taxonomy places the organism in Eukaryota, Metazoa, Chordata, Mammalia, Artiodactyla, Camelidae.